UUUUUUAAUUGAAAACUGGUAUGAAUGGUAUAAACUGAAGGGAAUGUUUUAUAGAAAAUUUUUGAUAUUAAAUUAAAGGUAAAAAUGCUUUUAUUAACUUUUGGGACGAGAAGACCCUAAAAGCUUUUAAAUUUAUAAAUUUUUAGUUGGGGUAACUUUUGAAGAUAAUCAUUUUUGAUAAUUUUAUAUUAAAGUCAAAGAAGUUACUUUAGGGAUAACAGCGUUAUUUAAUUAGCAAGUUCUUAUUAAUAAUUAAGAUUGCGACCUCGAUGUUGAAUUAAGU
Molecule: ribosomal RNA, 283 nt
Filed under: Metabalta aff. albipes MZSP 73014
Lineage: Eukaryota; Metazoa; Arthropoda; Arachnida; Opiliones; Gonyleptidae
Description: partial large subunit ribosomal RNA
Source: RNAcentral